Molecule: ribosomal RNA, 418 nt
Filed under: uncultured soil bacterium
Lineage: Bacteria
Description: bacterial SSU rRNA
Rfam family: Bacterial small subunit ribosomal RNA
Source: RNAcentral
AGAUUGAACGCUGGCGGCAUGCCUUACACAUGCAAGUCGAACGCGAAAGGGGGGGCAACCCCCGAGUAGAGUGGCGAACGGGUGAGUAAUACAUCGGAACGUGUCCAGUAGCGGGGGAUAACCUCUCGAAAGAGAGGCUGAUACCGCAUACGACCUACGGGUGAAAGAGGGGGAUCGCAAGACCUCUCACUAUUGGAGCGGCCGAUGUCGGAUUAGCUAGUUGGCGGGUAACGCCACCAGGCGACGAUCAGUAGCUGGUCUGAGAGGACGACCAGCCACACUGGGACUGAGACACGGCCCAGACUCCGUACGGGAGCAGCAAGUGGGAAUUUGGACAAAGUGGGACGCAAGACCCUGAUCCAGCCAGUCGCCGCGUGACGGAAGAAGGUCCGUUACGGGUUCGGUAACCGUCGUUUUA